Molecule: microRNA precursor, 101 nt
Filed under: Colobus angolensis palliatus
Lineage: Eukaryota; Metazoa; Chordata; Mammalia; Primates; Cercopithecidae
Description: miRNA (ENSCANG00000007997.1)
Source: RNAcentral
GAUUAGACCCAGCUCCCUGACCCCAAACCCUGCAGCCCCAGCUGGAGGGUGAGGAGAUGCUGGGCUUGGGUGGGGGAAUCAGGGGUGUAAAGGAGUCUGCU